Molecule: ribosomal RNA, 308 nt
Filed under: uncultured eukaryote
Lineage: Eukaryota
Description: SSU rRNA
Rfam family: Eukaryotic small subunit ribosomal RNA
Source: RNAcentral
AAUAAUUUAUUUGAUGGUCUCUUACUACAUGGAUAACUGUAGUAAUUCUAGAGCUAAUACAUGCGUAAAAUCUCGACUCUAGCGGGGAGAGAUGUAUUUAUUAGAUAAAAAACCAAUGCGGGCUUUGCCCGGUUUUGUGGUGAAUCAUAGUAACUUUUCGAAGCGCAUGGCUUCACGCCGGCGCUAGUUCAUUCAAAUUUCUGCCCUAUCAGCCUUCGACGGUAGUGUAGUGGACUACCGUGGCAUUAACGGGUAACGGAGAAUUAGGGUUCGAUUCCGGAGAGGGAGCCUGAGAAACGGCUACCACA